RNAcentral lists this ribosomal RNA (443 nucleotides) under uncultured bacterium. RNAcentral describes it as "bacterial SSU rRNA". It matches the Rfam family "Bacterial small subunit ribosomal RNA", at positions 339 to 794 of the family's 1533-position model. The record is from RNAcentral.
CUACGGGAGGCAGCAGUGGGGAAUAUUGCGCAAUGGGCGGAAGCCUGACGCAGCGACGCCGCGUGGGGGAUGACGGCCUUCGGGUUGUAAACCUCUUUCAGCAGGGACGAAGCGAAAGUGACGGUACCUGCAGAAGAAGCACCGGCCAACUACGUGCCAGCAGCCGCGGUAAUACGUAGGGUGCAAGCGUUGUCCGGAAUUAUUGGGCGUAAAGAGCUCGUAGGCGGUUUGUUGCGUCGGCUGUGAAAUCCCGAGGCUCAACCUCGGGUCUGCAGUCGAUACGAGCAAACUAGAGUGUUGCAGGGGAGACUGGAAUUCCUGGUGUAGCGGUGAAAUGCGCAGAUAUCAGGAGGAACACCGGUGGCGAAGGCGGGUCUCUGGGCAACAACUGACGCUGAGGAGCGAAAGCGUGGGGAGCGAACAGGAUUAGAUACCCCGGUAGC